This is a long non-coding RNA of Pogonomyrmex barbatus (red harvester ant), 153 nucleotides long. The record is from RefSeq and is a predicted model, not a curated record. Lineage: Eukaryota; Metazoa; Arthropoda; Insecta; Hymenoptera; Formicidae.
AUCCUUGAUUAAGUUAAUCCAAUCAUUUGGUCGAAGUCAGCAGGUUCAAAAUCUAAUCCUUAUUCCACAUAUCUGAUUAAAAUCUUUAGAUCAUUGAAAGCAUGAUACUUCAAGUCCCUCCUGAGUCAGAAAUCCAAGAAGAGAAAAGGAAAA